UGGGGAAUUUUGCACAAUGGGGGAAACCCUGAUGCAGCGACGCCGCGUGAUUUAGAAGGCCUUCGGGUUGUAAAAAUCUUUUGUAUGGGAAGAAAAUGACAGUACCAUACGAAUAAGGACCGGCUAAUUACGUGCCAGCAGCCGCGGUAAUACGUAAGGUCCGAGCGUUGUCCGGAAUCAUUGGGCGUAAAGGGUACGUAGGCGGAUAAGCAAGUUAGAAGUGAAAUCCUAUAGCUCAACUAUAGUAAGCUUUUAAAACUGCUCAUCUUGAGGUAUGGAAGGGAAAGUGGAAUUCCUAGUGUAGCGGUGAAAUGCGCAGAUAUUAGGGGGAAUACCGGUGGCGAAGGCGGCUCUCUGGUCUGUAACUGACGCUGAGGCUCGAAAGCGUGGGGAGCGAACAGG
Molecule: ribosomal RNA, 402 nt
Filed under: Verrucomicrobiota bacterium
Lineage: Bacteria; Pseudomonadati; Verrucomicrobiota
Description: Verrucomicrobia bacterium partial 16S ribosomal RNA
Rfam family: Bacterial small subunit ribosomal RNA
Source: RNAcentral